UGUUCGCCAGGGUACUACGAGCAUUAGCUUAAAACCCAAAGGUUUUGAGGGUGCCUUAGACCCCCCUAGAGGAGCCUGUUCUAGAACCGAUAACCCCCGUUAAACCUCACCAUUUCUAGUCGCAUCAGCCUAUAUACCGCCGUCGUCAGCUUACCCUGUGAAGGAGCAAAAGUAAGCAAAAGGAGUAAAACCCAAAACGUCAGGUCGAGGUGUAGCGAACGAAAUGGGAAGAAAUGGGCUACAUUUUCUACAGCAGAACAUUACGAACACGCAAUAUGAAACAAAUGCUUGAAGGAGGAUUUAGUGGUAAAAAGGAAAUAGAGUGUCCUUUUGAAUCCGGCCCUGAGGCACGUACACACC
RNAcentral lists this ribosomal RNA (360 nucleotides) under Amblypharyngodon mola (mola carplet). Its description in RNAcentral is "partial small subunit ribosomal RNA". It matches the Rfam family "Bacterial small subunit ribosomal RNA", at positions 866 to 1391 of the family's 1533-position model. Lineage: Eukaryota; Metazoa; Chordata; Actinopteri; Cypriniformes; Danionidae. The record is from RNAcentral.